Small nuclear RNA from Oncorhynchus mykiss (rainbow trout), 118 nucleotides. Its record names the gene U5. It matches the Rfam family "U5 spliceosomal RNA". From Rfam's summary of the family: U5 RNA is a component of both types of known spliceosome. The precise function of this molecule is unknown, though it is known that the 5' loop is required for splice site selection and p220 binding, and that both the 3' stem-loop and the Sm site are important for Sm protein binding and cap methylation. The record is from Ensembl. Lineage: Eukaryota; Metazoa; Chordata; Actinopteri; Salmoniformes; Salmonidae.
UGACUCUGGUUUCUCUUCAUUACGCACAAGCCUUUCGCCUUUUACUAAAGACUUCCGUGGAGAGGAACACUUACGAGUUCAACGUAUUUUUGGAGGCGGCUUUGCUUCUUGCAGAGCC